CAGCCGCCGCGGUAAUACAGAGGGUGCAAGCGUUAAUCGGAAUUACUGGGCGUAAAGCGUGCGCAGGCGGUUUUGUAAGACAGGCGUGAAAUCCCCGGGCUCAACCUGGGAAUGGCGCUUGUGACUGCAAAGCUAGAGUGCGGCAGAGGGGGAUGGAAUUCCGCGUGUAGCAGUGAAAUGCGUAGAUAUGCGGAGGAACACCGAUGGCGAAGGCAAUCCCCUGGGCCUGCACUGACGCUCAUGCACGAAAGCGUGGGGAGCAAACAGGAUUAGAUACCCCAGUAGUCCCUGUCUCUUAUAC
This 301-nucleotide ribosomal RNA is filed under the name uncultured bacterium. Its description in RNAcentral is "partial 16S ribosomal RNA". It matches the Rfam family "Bacterial small subunit ribosomal RNA", at positions 509 to 807 of the family's 1533-position model. The record is from RNAcentral.